This 22-nucleotide non-coding RNA is filed under the name Arabidopsis thaliana (thale cress). Lineage: Eukaryota; Viridiplantae; Streptophyta; Magnoliopsida; Brassicales; Brassicaceae. The record is from RNAcentral.
UUGUAACCUGCCAAAACAAUAC